Molecule: non-coding RNA, 29 nt
Filed under: Callithrix jacchus (white-tufted-ear marmoset)
Lineage: Eukaryota; Metazoa; Chordata; Mammalia; Primates; Cebidae
Also listed under: 1 other name
Source: RNAcentral
UCUACUUCCUUAUAUGAGGCCCACUGUCA